GACGAACGCUGGCGGCGUGCUUAACACAUGCAAGUCGAACGGAAAGGCCCUGCUUUUGUGGGGUGCUCGAGUGGCGAACGGGUGAGUAACACGUGAGUAACCUGCCCUUGACUUUGGGAUAACUUCAGGAAACUGGGGCUAAUACCGGAUAGGAGCUCCUGCUGCAUGGUGGGGGUUGGAAAGUUUCGGCGGUUGGGGAUGGACUCGCGGCUUAUCAGCUUGUUGGUGGGGUAGUGGCUUACCAAGGCUUUGACGGGUAGCCGGCCUGAGAGGGUGACCGGCCACAUUGGGACUGCGAUACGGCCCAGACUCCUACGGGCGGCAGCAGUGGGGAAUAUUGCACAAUGGGCGGAAGCCUGAUGCAGCAACGCCGCGUGCGGGAUGACGGCCUUCGGGUUGUAAACCGAUUUCGCCUGUGACGAAGCGUGAGUGACGGUAAUGGGUAAAGAAGCACCGGCUAACUACGUG
This 468-nucleotide ribosomal RNA is filed under the name uncultured bacterium. RNAcentral describes it as "partial 16S ribosomal RNA". It matches the Rfam family "Bacterial small subunit ribosomal RNA", at positions 28 to 507 of the family's 1533-position model. The record is from RNAcentral.